Molecule: long non-coding RNA, 1604 nt
Organism: Clupea harengus (Atlantic herring)
Lineage: Eukaryota; Metazoa; Chordata; Actinopteri; Clupeiformes; Clupeidae
Source: Ensembl
UAAAAAGCAUUUAAAAAUGACAGGAUGUGUGUGUGAAAGCAGCAGUGACGAGGAAAGUAAAAUAUUUGAUAGCAGUGCACAGUCGGUUUCUGUUUCAGGGUCACGUGAUCACGCUGUUGAAACUCCACCCAGGCCUUUCCUAUUGGACUGCUCGGGUUGAAACUCCACCCAGGCCUUUCCUAUUGGUCUGCUCGGGUUGAAACUCCACCCAGGCCUUUCCUAUUGGACUGCUCGGGUUGAAACUCCACCCAGGCCUUUCCUAUUGGACUGCUCGGGUUGAAACUCCACCCAGGCCUUUCCUAUUGGACUGCUCUGGUUGAGUGGAGCACUUCUUGUUCACUGUGCUGGUAAGCGUGGCCUGGAGGUGCAGGACGAGGGGAGCCCAGUCGAAUAGGCCAAAUGACUACAGGAAGUGAAUCACAGCUACUAAAGACUACAGGAAGACCAGUUGAAUAGGCCAAAUGACUACAGGAAGUGAAUCACAGCUACUAAAGACUACAGGAAGACCAGUUGAAUAGGCCAAAUGACUACAGGAAGUGAAUCACAGCUACUAAAGACUACAGGAAGACCAGUCGAAUAGGCCAAAUGACUACAGGAAGUGAAUAACAGCUACUAAACACUACAGGAAGACCAGUCGAAUAGGCCAAAUGACUACAGGAAGUGAAUCACAGCUACUAAACACUACAGGAAGACCAGUCGAAUAGGCCAAAUGACUACAGGAAGUGAAUCACAGCUACUAAAGACUACAGGAAGACCAGUCGAAUAGGCCAAAUGACUACAGGAAGUGAAUCACAGCUACUAAAGACUACAGGAAGACCAGUCGAAUAGGCCAAAUGAGAGUCAGGAUAGGCACGAACUUGCUCGAUCACUGAAGUUCGGUGAAGGAAUAGAUCGAUCUUGGUCUUUAAACCCCUUAACAAAAGUAUAAAAAGACCAGCACUAUUGGCAACAACCAUAGAAAGUAAGCUGAGUAGAACUAAACAAAGAGUAACAGUAAAGGACCUUGCUUGAGUGCUGUGUGAACCAGGGACUGAAGUGUGUUCAGGAGUGGAGCUCAUCUUUGCUUGAGUGCUGUGCGAACCAGGGACUGAAGUGUGUUCGGGAGUGGAGCUCAUCUUUGCUUGAGUGCUGUGCGAACCAGGGACUGAAGUGUGUUCAGGAGUAGCGCUCGUCUUUGCUUGUAUCGGGAGCUUGUAGGAGUCUUGACUGGUGCUGCAGAUCGUAUCACAGGCAGACCUGGAGAUGUUAAUCUGUUUUUAAAGAGCCCAUUGUGUCACAAGGUCCUUAUGGCCAAGCCACUGAGGAAGUGCACACAAUGAGGCAGCUCUGUUCUCUUUGGCUUCUUUGUUUUGUUUUCACAGAAUGGGACCAGGCAUGAGAGUGGCAAUCACACACACACACACACACACACACACACACACACACACACACACACACACACACACACACACACACACACACACACACACACAGCAUGAGAGUGGCAGUAAAAGAGUUUUACUGUGGCCUGAUGACUCCCAUCCAAGGUUCCGUGUAAAACAGAAAAACCUAGAGAGGAAAUCGGUCCGGGCUGCCAAAGUCCUCCGUUGCUCCGUGUCCUCCGG